UUCGGUAUCGCCUAACGGUUAAGCCGCGUGGUUUUCAACCACGAAAUCGGGGUUCGACUCCCCGUGCCGAAA
Non-coding RNA from Tritrichomonas musculus, 72 nucleotides. Lineage: Eukaryota; Parabasalia; Tritrichomonadida; Tritrichomonadidae. The record is from the annotation of a GenBank genome assembly.